GACGUAGGGAGCGAGCGUUGUCCGGAUUCAUUGGGCGUAAAGAGCGCGUAGGCGGCCGUGCAAGUCGGUUGUGAAAUCCCGGGGCUCAACCCCGGGACUGCGUCCGAUACUGCACGGCUCGAGGCAGGUAGGGGAGAGUGGAAUUCCCGGUGUAGCGGUGAAAUGCGCAGAUAUCAGGAGGAACACCGGUGGCGAAGGCGGGUCUCUGGGCCGAUACUGACGCUGAGGAGCGAAAGCGUGGGGAGCAAACAGG
This 253-nucleotide ribosomal RNA is filed under the name uncultured bacterium. RNAcentral describes it as "partial 16S ribosomal RNA". It matches the Rfam family "Bacterial small subunit ribosomal RNA", at positions 524 to 776 of the family's 1533-position model. The record is from RNAcentral.